Molecule: long non-coding RNA, 771 nt
Organism: Hemiscyllium ocellatum (epaulette shark)
Lineage: Eukaryota; Metazoa; Chordata; Chondrichthyes; Orectolobiformes; Hemiscylliidae
Exons: 3
Source: RefSeq, a predicted model, not a curated record
CAGAGCUGUCCUGGCCCCCAAUUCCACUCCGUCCUCUGAUUUGUUCAACAUUCUAACAAGAAACAUGUUUUCUUCCUUGCAUACAUUAAGGAACUCAAGCUACAGCAACUCCAUGCCCCUCUGGAACAAUCUUCCCUCCACUUGUCUCUAGCCCCAUUCCUUCUCAUAACCUCACCACUUUUUAAGUAUUUGCAAUCCCUUCUGACAUUCCACUCUCUGAUGCUCAACAUUCUGUACUCAGCAAAGAUGUUGCCAAACCUGCCGAGUUUCUCCAGCAAGUUCUGUUUUUGUUGCAAAAGGUAAUAAGUCUACAUUGAAGCAUAAUUUUACGUUUGCCAGCCUCAGGUAAACAGAAGAAAUUAUUUGGAAGAGGCCUGACAGGACCAAAAUGAGUGGAAUCUAUGUCCAAUGACAUCUUUCAGCAAUGACAGCAGGACCUGAAGGACUACGAAUGCUUCUCACUGCAGAUUGAUGAAUUCAUCCACAAGACCAGCAAACUCCAGCCGAUUGCUUUUCUCCACCUGUUUUAAAAGAACAUAACAACCUAAGAGGAUCUCCUCAUCCUUUUGUGCCUGAAAGAGAGGUCAAUUAAUGAGAAUAUCUGCAACAAAUUCAGAAAGUAUGUAUUUGAGAAAAACAUUCCAGUCAAGAAGUUGUUUUCCAUUGCAACUGAUGUGCAUCAGACAUGCUACACAUAAAUACAAGGUUUCUUGCAUUUUUCAACAAUGAUCCUGACUGCCACUCUUUUGUCAGUUACCAUUGUAUAAUCCA